CGGGGCGUAGCGCAGUCUGGUAGCGCACCUGCUUUGGGAGCAGGGGGUCGGAGGUUCGAAUCCUCUCGCCCCGA
RNAcentral lists this transfer RNA (74 nucleotides) under Rubrobacter sp. RNAcentral's name for it is "tRNA-Pro". It matches the Rfam family "tRNA". From Rfam's summary of the family: Transfer RNA (tRNA) molecules are approximately 80 nucleotides in length. Their secondary structure includes four short double-helical elements and three loops (D, anti-codon, and T loops). Lineage: Bacteria; Bacillati; Actinomycetota; Rubrobacteria; Rubrobacterales; Rubrobacteraceae. The record is from RNAcentral. RNAcentral also lists the same sequence under 1 other name.